This is a non-coding RNA of Cyanistes caeruleus (blue tit), 3777 nucleotides long. The record is from RefSeq and is a predicted model, not a curated record. NCBI's taxonomy places the organism in Eukaryota, Metazoa, Chordata, Aves, Passeriformes, Paridae.
GGCUGAGGAGAGCACGGCCUGGGCUUCAGUUUGGCCGUCAGAAAAUCUACCCCUUAUUUUACGGCAAAUGUCCCUGAGCUCGUAGCUAUCAACGUCCUCGAAUAAUUUUGCAAAAUAAAGCGUUGUUUUCCUUCUUCAGGCAAAGAGUAUCAGGCUCAUGUUGUGCAGGUAAAUAGUGAUCAAAGGGGAAGAAAUCUCUCUUCCCGGCCCUUAAAGGAAGAUGGGCUUGUAAGCUAAGUGCCAUGGUUUUUAUCUGCUCCUCAUUUUCAUGGUUAUUAAGGUUGGAAAAUAACUCCAAAAAAAAAGAUCAACUCCAGCAAGGUUUAAGCUCUCAAGUUCUAAGAUUUUGUCAAUUAAAAACCAACCAAAUCCAGUAGAAGUUGGGCGGAUGGCACAGUGCCCUCAACACACAGCACCACAGAAGGAGACCCCCACAACUAAUGAGUAAUAAGCUUUCUACAACAAACCCAGAGGGUAAAAAUAACAUGAAAUACAUUCAGUAGCAAAGCCGUUGGGACCCAGGAGACAUGGAGAGCCCUGUAUUCCUGGAGAAUUGACCUGUAUGUGUUAAGUCACAAUCCUGAAAUAAAUUGUGUAGACUUCUGGCCUGGGAAAGAUAAGGUUUUGAUCAAUGCUGAACAUUAUUUAUCCAGUUACAAAUUGCUUGCAUUUCCCAAGCCACGUGUGGAUUAGCUCAGUUCUAAAGGCUGCUGUGAUGUACACCUCCCCUAAAACCCGAGAGAUCCAAACUUGAGUGUUUCAUCAUGUCUCCCCUUAGUGUUAUUACCUGGAAGGAACUAAUGGGAAUGGGACAGUUCCCAGUAGGAUAUUAGCACAAUAAACAGACAAAUAAUUUAGUUUUAACCUCUGUGUUUGCACAUCUGGUGCAGCCAGCUCUUUGCACAGCAGCCCCUUCAGCAGGGACAGAGAGUGCUCGUCAGCCACAGCAGUCCCUCAGACCUGAGGAGAACAUCUCUGUCCUUUCUUCACAAUCAAUCAGACAUGACACUUACUACGAUUUUCUCUCUAACAGCUGGAAGAACACCAGCACUGUAAGAGUGCUUCUGGUUUAAAAGCCAAGGGUGUUUAGGCUUAGGAGAUGAUGCAGAAAUUGCCAAUUAUCCCUGAGUCUAACAGUAAAUGAUAAUCCUCUGAGUAAAUGAGAAUCACCUGAUUAUAGUUCUCCCACACAUACAAGUAGUUUCAUGGAUUUCACUGCAGCUAUUUAAUAGGAGCAGCCCUGCCUUGAUCCUGUAGAGAAAGCAUGGCCUGUGACUUCCAAAUUUUGGUAUUUUGAUGCCAGUAAAUGUAGGUUUUUAUUUCCUCCCAAAAUACCACGUUCAGUCAAUGAGUGGCAUCACGACCCUGAAGUCAAUGGGAUACUUCAUGCUUUGUUAAGGGGCUGAAUUCUUGCAGUUCUUGACUUUUUAUCUCCAUCUCCCCUUGUAAACAGCUGGUUUUAUUUCAAGUUGUUCUUAACACAGUGGCAGAGAUGAUAAUUUAUCUUAAAAUAAAUUUCAAGGGCCAACUUAGUUAAGUCAUUUAAAAUGUCUAUCAAAGAAAAAAAAUGCUGCUUAUCUGUGUAAGCACUUAAACUUAGUUGUAGCAAAUUAAAUCCUCAUUACCAAACAGGACAAGGGUGGGUUUGUUCACUGGCAGUACUGUUUACAUAGCUGACUACCUUUCCUGAGACUGGUUCUGCCAAACCCUAAUGCAGAUGGCACCUCAGGGAUUUUGCAAUUUCUUGACUUCUCUACCCCUACUAGUUUCUAUCUUUUUUCUCUUUAUUCCUCUUCAGGUACAUUUAGAAAUGUAAACUAAGUGGAAUAAGUCCUAUUUAGACUAAGUUUGGUUCACAAAGAUAAUACACGACUAGUUCACAAAUGUACCACGUAAAUAAAUCAGCCUUGCUUCAUUUAGCCUGUAAAGUGUUACAGUCAAAGGAAAACCAACUUUUUAAAGUGAAAAGGACUUUUUUUUUUUUUUUUCCCCUAUAUUGGGGAUCUCAGGAACAAACUAUAGUCCACCAAGAUACAAGUUGUAGUAAAAAUAUUCUUUGGAGGUUUGUUCCUAAUCAAAGUAAAGUCUUUAUUUCAGAAUGGUACAUUCUCAAUAGAAUUUAAAAAUAGGUUUUGGUUCCACAUAUAUAUUUAUAAAAUUCAAAUUAAUUUUAAUAAAAGUUUGAUCUGAACACAUAGUUUACUACAGACUCAGGGAAAAAAGGUUGAUCACUCCACACUUAGGAGCUAUGUUAGCUGUUCCAGUGCCACAAGGAAACAACAGUUUCAGUGAGACUGAUGAUGUUUCCUGCUGAAAAGCUGGACAAUAAGCCAGCUAUCCCUGACAAACCCACCAAGGAUAUGUGUGUAGGUAGUUCUGUCACACAGAGAUCUCUUUUCUUGCAGGAAACUAAAUUUCCCAAUGGCAUCUAUAGUCAGCAGACAGGAUUUUAGCUUGCCUGGUUUAAUCAUGGAGUCCUGCUCCUUUCCUUCAUUCUCAAUAUUCAUCAAGAUAAUGACAUUAAGCUAUUUUCUUGUUCUUUCAGUAAUGCCGAGAAGAUGCAGUUUCCUCCUAAAUAUUACACUUCCAAAUGCCAUUGCUCCAAAUGCUACCUUGGAUCCACAGCUGGAAGGUGGAAAGUGUUUAUUGCCUUUAGGGUCAUUGCUUUCCUUUGGGUGAGGUAAGCCAGCUUCCAUCCUUACAAGGGUUUGAAAUCGUCAUGGCUAGCAGGUAGCAAAUGUGGUUUUGUUCCUGAAACUCAAUAUCCAAAGUCAGAAAGCAGCUACACUGAGAAAAUGAAUCUUGUGUCAAAGCUCAUCCUGUGAAAGGUGAUUUACCAGUUCCUUUUUGACGAACUUAGAAAGUCCCAUGAUCCGCUUGCACUCACUGGACCCUGUGAGGUGAUUUAACUCAUUCACUUGACAGAAGAUAAACUGCAGGGGGAUAAAUCCACCCACAUGGGUUUUUUUGCUGUUGUUUUUAAUUAUCUCCAGUACAUACUACAACAAGGACAAGGGACAGGACUGUACAGUGGGGAGCUGGAGGGCUGAGCAGUAGUGAGCUCUUAAUUCAUCUGCUCAGGGACUCACAGCCUGAAAAGACAUUCCUUUAAUCAUUCUUACUGAACUUUUCCAAUCAUGUUUUUAAAUCCACUUGUAAGUAUGAUUUAAGAUAAAUGAAAUGAGAAAUUCAGACACUUGUCAAAACCAGUUUCCCUCAUGGGCAGAGUACUCUCAAAUGCAACAUUCACAUGUUCACCAGGUAUCCUUAAAUGUCACUUCAGAUUUUUUAUGAAUUCAGAUUCACAUUCUAAAUGUGAAGCGGAACUGGUAAGUGAAUGACUAACACUGGGUUUAGUUAGUCAAGAGAAUGGAAACAUUUAUGCAAAUAUUAUGAGCAAGACAGUGACAAGGGAAAAAGACCUUUGAUAACAUUUGCAAAAGAAGUACCUUCUGUUUUCCCCCUUUUGUUCCUCACUGUAUUAAUAAUUCCAGAUGAUACGUUCUUGAAGGUACAUUUUAAAAUAUUAAAGUUUUUUAACCCCUUAUUCUUAGAAGAGAGAAUUGUUUCAGGAUGGUGAUUAUAUUUUGAGCUCUACUUCUAUCAGCUGACUGCCUUUUAGAAUCUUUCCUUUGGCACUGGUAACAUUAAAUUUGUACUACCCUGUUGAAAAUAAUUCACAAUUAUGCUUGACAACAAAUCACAAGAUGGGUAUUAUUAAAUUUUAUUGUACAAAACUGACAAUGUAUGGCAUUCCUUAGAAUUAAAAAAAAAAAA